Molecule: ribosomal RNA, 254 nt
Filed under: uncultured bacterium
Lineage: Bacteria
Description: partial 16S ribosomal RNA
Rfam family: Bacterial small subunit ribosomal RNA
Source: RNAcentral
UACGGGGGGAGCAAGCGUUGUUCGGAUUUACUGGGCGUAAAGGGCGCGUAGGCGGUCAGCACAAGUCAGUUGUGAAAUCUCCGGGCUUAACCCGGAAAGGUCAACUGAUACUGUGCGACUAGAGUGCGGAAGGGGCAACUGGAAUUCUCGGUGUAGCGGUGAAAUGCGUAGAUAUCGAGAGGAACACCUGCGGCGAAGGCGGGUUGCUGGGCCGACACUGACGCUGAUGCGCGAAAGCUAGGGGAGCGAACGGG